This 438-nucleotide ribosomal RNA is filed under the name Mycobacterium sp. FI-06115. RNAcentral's name for it is "bacterial SSU rRNA". It matches the Rfam family "Bacterial small subunit ribosomal RNA", at positions 36 to 487 of the family's 1533-position model. The record is from RNAcentral. Lineage: Bacteria; Bacillati; Actinomycetota; Actinomycetes; Mycobacteriales; Mycobacteriaceae.
CUGGCGGCGUGCUUAACACAUGCAAGUCGAACGGAAAGGCCCCUUCGGGGGUACUCGAGUGGCGAACGGGUGAGUAACACGUGGGUGAUCUGCCCUGCACUCUGGGAUAAGCCUGGGAAACUGGGUCUAAUACCGGAUACACCCUUCUGGUCGCAUGGCCUGGGAGGGGAAAGCUUUUGCGGUGUGGGAUGGGCCCGCGGCCUAUCAGCUUGUUGGUGGGGUGAUGGCCUACCAAGGCGACGACGGGUAGCCGGCCUGAGAGGGUGUCCGGCCACACUGGGACUGAGAUACGGCCCAGACUCCUACGGGAGGCAGCAGUGGGGAAUAUUGCACAAUGGGCGCAAGCCUGAUGCAGCGACGCCGCGUGGGGGAUGACGGCCUUCGGGUUGUAAACCUCUUUCAGCAUCGACGAAGCGCAAGUGACGGUAGAUGCAGAAG